GGCACUGUGGCGGAGUGGUUAACGCGACAGAUUAGAACCCCUGAAGUAUAGUGAUCUGUUCCUCUUGUAGGGCGCAUGUUCGAAUCAUGCCAGUGUCG
Mycena rosella is the source of this 98-nucleotide non-coding RNA. Lineage: Eukaryota; Fungi; Basidiomycota; Agaricomycetes; Agaricales; Mycenaceae. The record is from the annotation of a GenBank genome assembly.